Molecule: ribosomal RNA, 447 nt
Filed under: uncultured bacterium
Lineage: Bacteria
Description: partial 16S ribosomal RNA
Rfam family: Bacterial small subunit ribosomal RNA
Source: RNAcentral
GACGAACGCUGGCGGCGUGCUUAACACAUGCAAGUCGAACGCCCCGCAAGGGGAGUGGCAGACGGGUGAGUAACACGUGGGAACGUACCCUUUGGUUCGGAAUAACUUGGGGAAACUCAAGCUAAUACCGGAUAAGCCCUUAUGGGGAAAGGUUUACUGCCGAAGGAUCGGCCCGCGUCUGAUUAGCUAGUUGGUGAGGUAAUGGCUCACCAAGGCGACGAUCAGUAUCUGGUCUGAGAGGAUGAUCAGCCACACUGGGACUGAGACACGGCCCAGACUCCUACGGGAGGCAGCAGUGGGGAAUAUUGGACAAUGGGGGCAACCCUGAUCCAGCCAUGCCGCGUGAGGGAUGACGGCCUUCGGGUUGUAAACCUCUUUCACCGGUGAAGAUAAUGACGGUAACCGGAGAAGAAGCCCCGGCUAACUUCGUGCCAGCCGCCGCCGUAA